CUGUACCUCAAGCCCGGCUUGUGUGUUGGGCCCUACCGUCCCUCUGGACGGUGACCCGAAAGGCAGUGGCGGCGUCGCGUCCCGGUCCUUGAAGCGUAUGGGGCUUUGUCACCCGCUUGGAGGCCGGCCGACCCCGUAGCCCAUCGUGGAUCUUCCACAUUUAUUCU
RNAcentral lists this unclassified non-coding RNA (167 nucleotides) under uncultured Rasamsonia. RNAcentral describes it as "sequence contains ITS2". The record is from RNAcentral. Lineage: Eukaryota; Fungi; Ascomycota; Eurotiomycetes; Eurotiales; Trichocomaceae.